Molecule: small nuclear RNA, 108 nt
Organism: Phyllostomus hastatus (greater spear-nosed bat)
Lineage: Eukaryota; Metazoa; Chordata; Mammalia; Chiroptera; Phyllostomidae
Source: RefSeq, a predicted model, not a curated record
GUGCUCGCUUCGGCAGCACGUACACUAAAAACUGGGAUGACGCAGAGAAGGUUAGCACGGCCCUUACGCAGGGAUGGCACAUGAAUUCGUGGAGCGUUCCGUAUUAAA